GACGAACGCUGGCGGCGUGCCUAAUACAUGCAAGUCGAACGAGAGCGACCGGUGCUUGCACAGGUCAAUCUAGUGGCGAACGGGUGAGUAACACGUGGGUAACCUGCCCAUCAGAGGGGGAUAACAUUCGGAAACGGAUGCUAAAACCGCAUAGGUUCUACAGUCGCAUGACUGAAGAAGGAAAAGAGGCGUAAGCUUCUACUGACGGAUGGACCCGCGGUGCAUUAGCUAGUUGGUGAGGUAACGGCUCACCAAGGCCGUGAUGCAUAGCCGACCUGAGAGGGUGAUCGGCCACAUUGGGACUGAGACACGGCCCAAACUCCUACGGGAGGCAGCAGUAGGGAAUCUUCCGCAAUGGACGCAAGUCUGACGGAGCAACGCCGCGUGAGUGAAGAAGGAUUUCGGUUCGUAAAACUCUGUUGUUAGAGAAGAACAGCGCAUAGAGUAACUGAUAUGCGUGUGACG
RNAcentral lists this ribosomal RNA (465 nucleotides) under Granulicatella elegans. RNAcentral's name for it is "bacterial SSU rRNA". It matches the Rfam family "Bacterial small subunit ribosomal RNA", at positions 28 to 474 of the family's 1533-position model. The record is from RNAcentral. Lineage: Bacteria; Bacillati; Bacillota; Bacilli; Lactobacillales; Carnobacteriaceae.